RNAcentral lists this ribosomal RNA (301 nucleotides) under uncultured bacterium. RNAcentral describes it as "partial 16S ribosomal RNA". It matches the Rfam family "Bacterial small subunit ribosomal RNA", at positions 509 to 807 of the family's 1533-position model. The record is from RNAcentral.
CAGCAGCCACGGUAAAACGUAGGUGGCAAGCGUUGUCCGGAAUUAUUGGGCGUAAAGGGCUCGCAGGCGGUUUCUUAAGUCUGAUGUGAAAGCCCCCAGCUCAACCGGGGAGGGUCAUUGGAAACUGGGAAACUUGAGUGCAGAAGAGGAGAGUGGAAUUCCACGUGUAGCGGUGAAAUGCGUAGAGAUGUGGAGGAACACCAGUGGCGAAGGCGACUCUCUGGUCUGUAACUGACGCUGAGGAGCGAAAGCGUGGGGAGCGAACAGGAUUAGAUACCCCUGUAGUCCCUGUCUCUUAUAC